This 253-nucleotide ribosomal RNA is filed under the name uncultured bacterium. Its description in RNAcentral is "partial 16S ribosomal RNA". It matches the Rfam family "Bacterial small subunit ribosomal RNA", at positions 524 to 776 of the family's 1533-position model. The record is from RNAcentral.
UACAGAGGGUGCGAGCGUUGUCCGGAAUCACUGGGCGUAAAGGGCGCGUAGGUGGCCUGGUAAGUAGGGGGUGAAAUCUCGCGGCUCAACUGCGAGGCUGCCUCCUAAACUGUCAGGCUCGAGCAGAGUAGAGGCAGGUGGAAUUCCCGGUGUAGUGGUGAAAUGCGUAGAUAUUGGGAGGAACACCAGUGGCGAAGGCGGCUACCUGGACCGGUUCUGACGCUGAUGCGCGAAAGCGUGGGUAGCAAACAGG